UACGAAGGGUGCAAGCGUUACUCGGAAUUACUGGGCGUAAAGCGUGCGUAGGUGGUGAGUUAAGUCUGUCGUGAAAGCCCCGGGCUCAACCUGGGAAUGGCGAUGGAUACUGGCUCGCUAGAGUGCGGUAGAGGAGAGUGGAAUUCCCGGUGUAGCAGUGAAAUGCGUAGAGAUCGGGAGGAACACCGGUGGCGAAGGCGGGUCUCUGGGCAACAACUGACGCUGAGGAGCGAAAGCGUGGGGAGCGAACAGG
This 253-nucleotide ribosomal RNA is filed under the name uncultured bacterium. RNAcentral's name for it is "partial 16S ribosomal RNA". It matches the Rfam family "Bacterial small subunit ribosomal RNA", at positions 524 to 776 of the family's 1533-position model. The record is from RNAcentral.